GUCAGGGGUGCACCCACCCCAUGUGCCCAACCUGGUGAGCCCCACUCUGGGAAGUCAGCCCUGGAGGGUGUUUCCUUCAUGGUAAUGAGCAGAGGUGAUGGUGAGGAGCAGAACAGCUCACAUUCACGCCUGGGAGGGGCAAGAGUCAGGAACAGUCUGCCUGGUCAGCCCCAGGACGACUGCAACUGCUUCCAGGUGGAUGCACCAAGAUUCAAAGAGCCUGAUUGUCUGCACAGAGGGCCUGGAAGAUGCUGAGUGAAGGAAGCGAGGUGUGGCUGCAGUUGUCAGACAGACACUGUUCCCUGCACACCUGGAACAGCCUGGCAUGUUCUGGACAGCUCCCCCUCUGUUGUUACCCCUGGGGCAGCUCUGGCAGUUUCCUGAGUGCAGUUUUUUAUCCUCCCUUAAGACAGCUGCUCAUCCAAUUUUAUUCCUGAUGAGUGCUGUAAAUUUACAAAACAUGCUGUGUUUUAUAUAUUAGUGUGAAAUCUGAGGAGCUAAACAUCAGAAUUGGGGGCUCAGGUGCCAACGAUUUCUGAUCACAUUUCCAAUUAAUUGGUCAUAUUUUCUAUCAAAAUAAAACAUCUUGGAGGUUUUGUGAUUCCUUGGUGAAGUUCUGCAUUUUCCCUAAAAGUACGUGCACUCUAAGGAAUAGGAUUGCUCGGCUGUUGCCAAAAGUCUCAUUUUUUUCAUAUGGCCAGCCUCUCAACUCCAAAUCCUGAGCAGGGCUCGAAACAGCCAUCUAGGAGCUAGGCAAUCAGUACAAGACUUGGAAGAAGUGCUCAGACCACCAAGGCAGGGGUCCCCUGUUGCUCAGAAGCCCAGGCAUCACUCUGAACCCCACUGGUCUUUCUCUGCACUGGAACCCAGAGAGCAGCCCAGCACAGCUGCCAGGCAGGGCUGGAGCUCAGGUGCUGCCGACACAGCCUGGAUCUUUUCUUCGCUCCCGUCCUCCCAUUGGCCUCUUCCAGCAUUAACUCAAAUUCCCAGCUCCCAGCUCAAGACCACCUCCAGAUUUCCUCACCCACACCACCUUCCCCGGGCCCUGGGGCAUCCAGAAAUCCCCCAUGACCCUGGUUCUCAAAUGCAGCUCAGAAUCACCUGGCUGGUUCUCAUGAAUGGAGUUUCCAGAGACCCACUCCUGACCUUUCUGGAGCAGGAGGUCUGGGUGGAGUCUACCUGCCUAAUAUGGGACCAGUUCCUCAAGUCCAGAUAAGCUGACCCCACCCA
Bos taurus (domestic cattle) is the source of this 1230-nucleotide long non-coding RNA. The record is from Ensembl. NCBI's taxonomy places the organism in Eukaryota, Metazoa, Chordata, Mammalia, Artiodactyla, Bovidae.